Alligator sinensis (Chinese alligator) is the source of this 1331-nucleotide long non-coding RNA. RefSeq lists it as uncharacterized. The transcript is spliced from 7 exons. The record is from RefSeq and is a predicted model, not a curated record. Lineage: Eukaryota; Metazoa; Chordata; Crocodylia; Alligatoridae.
GCGGGGGGCGCUGCUGUGGCCACCACGGCGGGUCGUGCGGGGGACUGGAAGCCACUUUGCCAAGGCUUCAGGCACUGAAGACGAGGUGAAGAGCCGCAGAGAUCGCGGAGGAGGAAAUGGGCACCUGUCUCGUGACUUCCCAGUUCGUGUGGUGUGAGGCCUCUGCCCCUGUGACGUCACCUGUCUGGAGCUUGCGGUCAUGCUGUGUGUACAGUGGGUACUGUGAUGCUUCACGUUUUGAGCGCCUGUGACUAUCCAGCUCCGGGAGGCCGCAGACAAGCCUUUGAGAGCUCGGCUAAAGCCUGUAUGUAUCUUGUGGGGGAAGAGGGAUGCAGGGAGUUCUGUGCCGUGCUGGUGUAAGAUGAAGGAAAACAAUGCUUAAAGCUUGUUGUUUUGGGGUGAUGCCAAUGUUUGGACCGUGAGCGGAGGCGAGCUGAGGUAGAGGUAAAGCGACCUAGAGCCACAACGUUUUGGGAGGUGGAGGACACAGGCAACUGCACACCGAUGGUGACUUCUGGGUCACCUGGAAGGAGGCCUCUGCCCUUUUGCUGGAGUUGUGUGCAUGAGCAGAGUGUGCAGAGGUGCCCGUGUAGCCUGUGAGAGAGGAAGGCAAUCGGGGACGAGGCUGGGCUGGAGAAGGAGCAGAAUUAUGCCAGGUUGGGAUCCUGCGCCGCGUGGAGGGAAAUGAAUGCUGGUUCAGGGACCAGAGCCAAGCAGUGCCCAUGGAGGCGGAAGCAGGAGGAAUUGAAUGCCGUGAAGUGUGUUGGCACCCAGUCCCUAACCCGAACCCAGGCCCGGAUUCAUUUGUUUCCCUAACCCACACCAGUACUCAUUGGCAAACCUGUUCCCUAACCCUAACCCUUUGCCUCACCUUAACCUGGACCCGGAUUCAUUUGCGGACCCAUUCCGUAAAUCGAAUCAACACCAGACUCAUUUCUGAACCCAUUCCUUAACAGUAACCUGGCCCCAGAUUCAUUUAAGAACCCAUUGUGUAAUGCUAACUGGUUCCCUAACCGUAAUCCAGACCCAGACUCAUGUCUGGAGCUCUUCGCUAACUGUAACCCUUUGCCUGACCCUAACCCAGACCUGAGCUUAUUUCUAGACCCAUUCUCUAACCCUAACCCACGCCCCGAUCCAGUUGUGGACCCAUUCCAUAACUAACAUGCACCCCAACCCUAACCUGCACUAAGAUACAUAUGUGGACCCGUUGUCUGACCCUAAUGCACACCUGGACCCGGAUUUAUUUGUGGACUCAUUCUGUCCCCCUAGUACUUGGCCUAACCAUAACUAGCCCUAGAUUCCUUUCUGAAUCUGUUUCCUAACCCUAGCAC